UUUUUUUUUUGAUAAAUUCUUGAAUCAGAACUUACUCCAAGUAAAAACAUGGUUUCUUUGCCCAUACAACAGUUGGAUCGGAAAAUAUCUCCCAAUUUGUAUAUAUGAACACCGGGGAGUGAACGAAUUGACAACAAAAACGCUUAAAAAUACGUAAAAUAUAUAGUGUUUUAUAUGUGAAAAAAAUAUAUAUUAUAUAGCCUGAAUUGGUUUUUCUAUUUUUUUGAUAAAUUGUAGGAUGAAUGGUUAUUUAUAUGAACCAUGAAACAAAAAUGUACCUUAAAUCAGAUAAUGCAUAAAUUGAAUAAUUAUAAUUUAUAAUGAAAUAAAUAUUGAAAAAUAGCCCCAGGUCUGUAGUACAAUAUUUCACUCCGUUCUCUUCAAUUAUUAUCUGGGUAAAGUAAGUAAAAUAAUAAAAAAAUAUAAAAAAAUAUAAAAAAAUAUAAUUAAAAAUAUAUAUUAUUUUCAUCAAAAUAAAAAUGUCAAAAUCCAUUUAUAGAUCGAGAUGAAAUAGGCUCAGAUCUGUGAAUAGAGAUGAGGCGUGAGGAAGCGAACCCGCCAUGGCUGCCAACAACCGGUUGCAAAGUGGGCCCACUUGCCUUCCGGGUUGCCCCGCCAAGAUACGGGUCGGACUAUCCUCGGUGCCCCACCCUUUUCUCCCAGCAAAAAAAUACUCGUAUCGUCACAGCCUUCUCAGAUCCGGUCACACAAGUUCCAACACACACACACAAACAGAGGCAAUAUUUUCAAGGGUGCAAAGUGUAAUUAACCGAAAUUUAAAGGAGGUUUAGAUGCAAUUUUUCCCAAGGGCUGUUUGUUGGUUGGAAAGAAAGAAAUCACGGGUAGAAUCAGAAGGGGGGCAACCACCCUUUGAAUAAAUCCCAAAAUCCCUCUGAUGCCUCAUUCUUUUCAGCUUGGGAGAAAAUAUUAU
RNAcentral lists this long non-coding RNA (931 nucleotides) under Erythranthe guttata (spotted monkey flower). RNAcentral describes it as "long non-coding RNA (EGUT_LNC002882)". The record is from RNAcentral. Lineage: Eukaryota; Viridiplantae; Streptophyta; Magnoliopsida; Lamiales; Phrymaceae.